Engraulis encrasicolus (European anchovy) is the source of this 1091-nucleotide long non-coding RNA. RefSeq lists it as uncharacterized. The record is from RefSeq and is a predicted model, not a curated record. The transcript has 5 exons. Lineage: Eukaryota; Metazoa; Chordata; Actinopteri; Clupeiformes; Engraulidae.
GACAACCCCCUUAGCCCGUCUGUUCUCUUGCGCCAUAUAAAUGACGUGCGCUCUCCCGGGGCGCACACGAAAGCGCACCACAGCACCUUGGGGAUGCUGCGCAUCAAAGUCUGCGGAGAAGACAUUUCCUUUACUGCCAUGCGUUGUUUCAACAGAUAGUCGGAUAAAGGAUAGAACUAAGGCUUCCUGUUAAGUCCAGGGUCAUCUUAGUUAUUUGCAUUUUAACGUAGUGUAACUUUGUACUCCUCUUCUGACGCGCGCUCUCAGGGCAAGAUGAAAAUUCUCCUGUCACUUUUGAUCCUUUGCUGUUUGGUCAAUAUAUUUUGCCAAGAGCUGUUCUCCAGCGAAGACGACCUGGCAACGGGCAAUUACCUAUUAGAGGACUACCCGUCACAGGAAGAUGUGGAGAACCCUUUGCAGACAUUACUGAGAAUUGUGAGAAGAACCAGUCCUCAACAGUUCUUUGGGCUGAUGGGCAAACGAUCUGCAAAAGCACAAGUAACGCGCAAAAGACACAAAUUUCAGUCAUUUGUUGGACUGAUGGGCAAACGAAAUCUGGGAGAGAAAAGUGUAUCAAGAACCCUUCCCCUGUAGAGACUGAGGAGAUAAGGACAAAGAGCCGGUGAACACACAGAUGAACAGCUAGCUGAGAUGUUACAAUACAGUGGCCAUCACGGGCUGAGUUUGAUCAUUUGGCAAAAUUGUACCAAAUUCAACGUAUGCCUAUAUUAAUAUAACAGUGCUGUUUGCAGUUGUCUCAUUAAAAGGUGCACUGUGUAAGAUUGUGUCCAGAGUAUAUUGCACCUAUGCUGCUCAUUGAAACUGUACUGUGUCUACUGCCAAAUUUGAUCUUUUCAUGAAUGUUUACUUAAAAAUGAACUAAUAUUUACCAUUAUGACCAAAUUACAGUACGUUUUUCAGCUAAAAAUGUAAACUUCUGGAAAUUCAAAAUGGCAGACAAUGGACAAUAUCCCCUUUUCAUGUAUGAAUAUAUUUAAUUACAAUUUUCCCUCUGCAAUCUACAGUUCAGUUCACAAACUUAUGAAGUGAUACCAUGCUUGCCACAGGUUGGAACAAUAAAACCUCAAUGU